GUUUGAUGGCAGUGCUACAUUUUCUUUUGUUAUGAUUACUAUUACUAUUAUUGAAAAAUGUAUCAAGAAAAAUAAUUGAAUAGGAAAAUCCUGUCUUGCUGAAGAAGUUUAGGAGUCCACAGAAGGUCCCCUCUUUCAUAUUUUAUAAAAGUCUCCUGGCUGUCAAUUAGACAGGGUGCCUCUUCUCACUCUCUUGAUCACUCACUGAAAGUGAGUCUGAGGGCAUCGCUAUAAGGUGCAUUGAAAUUGCGGCAAUUGCAUAUGCAAUAGGUUCCCAACGCUCUAUGAAAAGAUUUGGUUUGGACAAAGAUCAACUAUUCCAUUUUGACAGCAUAAACAGGUGUGUGGAACAAACAUGAACUAGAUGGACUUUUGUCUUCUUCAACCUAUACUAUUAUGUAACUAUAAAUAGCAAACUAUAGGCC
This is a non-coding RNA of Pelobates cultripes (western spadefoot toad), 425 nucleotides long. Lineage: Eukaryota; Metazoa; Chordata; Amphibia; Anura; Pelobatidae. The record is from the annotation of a GenBank genome assembly.